This 8652-nucleotide long non-coding RNA is filed under the name Olea europaea subsp. europaea. Lineage: Eukaryota; Viridiplantae; Streptophyta; Magnoliopsida; Lamiales; Oleaceae. The record is from RNAcentral.
AACAAACCAAAAAGGAGUACAUUGCUCCUGUAAAAAGAGAGAUAUCAUAGCUCUAUUUUUCGCUGUGGCAGAACGAAAUGGUUCAAGGAUUCAUCCAUUUCAAGAGGCUAGGCAAUUUAUUGAUUAGAGAAGGAAAAUUUUGUUUGGAUACAAAUGAUCGGAUCCUCAGUUUGGAAACAGUAAGGAAAAAUGGAGGUGUGGACAAUGAGAUCGGUGGAACACUCUUUGUUCUUGGUAUGGGACGGUAUAGGAAUAUUUAAAUCUCAGGUACUGCUCUUACUCUUUCAUUCUAUUUCAGUUUAAUUAUUUAUUUUUAUUUGGAAAAUCGGAUUUUUGGAGGUAUGUUUGUGUUAUUUGUUCAUUUUGUAAAACUUAUGGCUUAUGAGUUGGUUCCUCUUCUAGAUCCCGCUACCUUUUCAUGAGAAUAGGAUUGCUUAUAAACCGGCGUUAUCAUAUAUUAUUGUAUUGUUUGGCUGGGAGUCAGCUUUUGUGCUUACUGAUGCAAAUGUGGGUAAUUGGCUGAUGAAUCAUUUUUUUAGCCUUGGACAAUAUUUUUGUAUGAAUUUAUCUAGUGGUACAUAAUGGUGUGUAUCGAAUGGUGUACAUCUCACUUGUGAGAUUCAUGUGAAAAAAAUAAUAUUUUAUUUGAGUAGAUCUCUCGUCCAUAUAAGUGGGGUGUACACCAUUAGAUACAUCUCGAUAUACCACUAGCAAAAUCGAUGUUGUAUACACAAAUUAAUAGAAGUGUUAAUUUUAAAUUUUCCUACCCGACCCAUUAACCCAAAAUUUGUCGGAGGAAAUGGUAGCUAAUGGCUGCCCCACACGACCACUUUUUCAAGGAAAUAGUGGCCAAUGACCGGAUUCAAAGAGGCCUUUGACCAGUAAAAAAAAAAAAAAAAGGCAAAAAUGUUUAAAAUCUUGAAAAUCAACAAAAAUCAAGAGAAACCCAAAUUUAUGCUUACCAUUUGAAAAAGAAAUAGAAGAGAAUAAGGAGAGUGGAAAAUUACUGUAGUACCGUAAACCCAAGCAUUGACACAAAAGGAAAAACAAGAGACCCAGUUGGCUAUUUCUUUCUGAAGAAGGUAAGAUUUUCAUACCAAGAAAAAACAUGUUUUUAUUUUAUUUUUUGGAAAAAAAGCAUGAUUAUAUAUAUAUACAUAUGUUGAGAAAUCCUUGUGUAAAUAUGAAAUUUGGGUAAGAAUAUUGUUUGGGAAGGCAAAAAUUGAGUGGAGAUUGUCGGAAAUGGAGUUUUCCGACUAUCUUCACGGUAAAACGUGGUUGGGGCCGUCUGGGCGCCCACCCCAAUUGACUGGACCAUCCGUUAUUUGGGUCGUGGGCUUAUAAUUUUUUUAUUUAUUUCCCGUAAUUAUUGAAGUUAAUUGAAUAAUUAUUAAUUUUCUAUUGUGUUCUCUAAUAUUUAAUUAUUUAUUUGAAUUGUUUAAUUUUAAUGUAUAUUAUGUAUUUAAAAUUAUUUAUUUGAAAUGUAAGAUAUAAAUGUUUUAUUAUUUAUCGAAAUAUUUAUCUGUUGCUAAUUUAGAUCAAUUUAUUAUUUUAUAUUAAGUAAUAGUAAAAUAAUUAAAAGAAAUAAUUACAUAUUAAAUAAGUAAUAUAUAUAAAGAAUUUAAAUAAAUAUUUAAAUAUUUGUAAAAUAAUAAAAAUAAUUAAAUUUGAAAAUUAAAAUAGCAAUAAAAUUAAUUUUUUGCAAAGUAAUUAAAAUAAAUUUGUAAAUAUGAAAUAAGCAUUAUGCGUAAAAAAUUAAAAUAAGUAUUUAAACAUUCAUUAAAAAUAAAAAAUUAAAUUAAGUGUUAGAAAAAAUAAUUAAAAUAUUAAAAUAAACGUUCAAACUAAGUAUUAGUAAAAUAAUUAAAUAUUAAAUAAGACAUAUAUAUAUAUAUAUACACACACACACCCCAAAGAGAGGGGGGGUCCUGAAAAAUGUUAGUAUUUCAAGGAUUAUAAGAAGGUUAUAAGGUGGUUACAAAUCAAAUUAUAAAAGUCCUACUCAGUACUCUUCUUAAUUGAAAUAUCUUUUGAUAAGAUAAUAUCCUUUUUUUUUAAACUUUUAUUUGAAAUUAAAAAAGUAUGCCAUCUGAGAUAUAUGAACUUGUGCCUAACUCCAUUAUUGCAAGGACACCACUGGCACUCUCUUAACAAAAAUUCUUAAAACAGUGAUCCUUUUCCCCUUUCUAUGCGUUUCACUAGCUUUUCCACUAGGCCUUUACGCUUUUGAAGGGUCACUCAGAGCUUAUUUUAAAAACAGUUUAAACUUUAACUUGGAGUUAAGACAUGUUCUUAUUAUAUACUCAGCAUGAAACAUAAAACUUUACAAAGAAUUUACAGAAACAAAAAAAUCUUAUAAAUAACAUUUGUUCUUUAAAGAUAUGGGACUAAUAUUGAUUAUUAGUACCAUAUCUUAGAACAAUAAAACAUACAUACCGGAAUGAUCCAUCAGUAGUUUAAAAACAUAAAUAUAUAUAUUUUUAGGAUAUUAUCAUAUCUAAGAAUAAAAACAAUUAAGAAUUUCCCUUUCGGGAAAGAGAGAAAAUUAGAACAUGUUUCAAAGAAACAAAGAACUUUUAUUAUUUUUCUCUAUUCUGUGUGUUUACAAGUGAAAGAAUGACUUCUGAUAUAGGAAAGAAAAAGGAAGAAAACGUGUUUUUCAAAAGCAAAGAAUCUUUGCUUUUUCAAAAACGUCAAAAAGAAAACAGUAAAAAGUUUAAUUAUCAAAUCUUACUUUAUAAAAUAGUAAGAUUCGUUACAAAUUUUUCAAACAGUAAAAAGUCUGUCUCUCGUACAAUAAUUUCUGAUCUUUUUGAAAGUUUGCCAAGUGUCUCUUUUCCAGCUAAGUCUUUCUUUGUAUGAUCAGAUCUUUCUUGAAGCCUUAUCUUAUUUCAUAAUUGUGUCGGCCAAUGCUGUCUAAAGAUGCUCCUUCAUCAGUAUAGCCUUCUGAAUUAUUGUCCUCUUCUGUAUUAUUCUCAUAAUCUUCUUUAAGAUCAAUUUUCUUUUUGCCUUUGUUUUUUUUUCUUUAUCUGCAACUUCUUUUUUUUUGAGGUCUUUUGUUUAACUAGUUGCUGUAAUUUUUCUAUUUUAUCAAACAUUUCUUUCAAUCUUUUUAUAUUUGAUUGAGUAAUUUGAUCUGGAUCUUGUGAUGAUUGAAAUAAUUCUGAUAUAAGAUUAACUGGGCUUUUCUGUUUUAAAUCUAUUGGACUAAUUAAUCUAGUAGCAUAAUUUACAGUUUGCUGAGUCUGUUCUUCAGUAAUUUUAUUUUCUGUAACAGGAUUUUCAGCCUGUUGAGUCUGAUUAAAUUGAAAAGUAGGAGAAUCAACAGCCUCCUGAGUUUGUUGGGCUUUUGGUAAGUCCAAAACCAUAAACGAAUUUGUUAAGUCUUUACCAGCUACCGUUUGAGCUGGACUAGUUAUAGACUUCUUGGGCUCUAUAGUAACUGAAACUGUCUGAAAAUCUGAAUUUAGAAUUUUUAUUUUAAUAAUUUUUUGUUCUAGAUCAGAAAUCUUCUUUUGUAAAAAUAAUUUUUCUUGUUGUAAAAUUUGAUUUGAUUCAUUUAAAAUUUUAAAAUUUCUAGUCAUGCAUUCACAAUGUUGACAAAAAUUUGAUGAAAAAAAUGUUUCAAAUUAGGCAUUAGAUUUUUCAUCAAAUUUUUGUCAACAUUGUGAAUGCAUGACUAGAAAUUUUAAUACAUUUUCUCCUAAAAAACUUUAUCUUUUUCCCAAUAUUUUAAUACAUUUUCUCCUAAAAUUUCUAAUUUUUCUAGUUUACUAAUCAUGUUUUCUAUAUCUUGUUCUGUUACUAACAAAUUAUAUAUUUUUUCAAUUUAUACAAAAUCUAAACAUAUUUCUUCUUCUUCAUAAUAUUCUUCUAAAAAAUUUUCUAAUUUUUAAUUAUUUUUAUUUUUAGAUAUGAUAAUAUCCUAAAAAAAAUAUAUUUAUGUUUUUAAACUACUGAUGGAUCAUUCUGGUAGGUACGUUUUAUUGUUCUAAGAUAUGGUACUAAUAAUCAAUAUUAGUUCCAGAUCUUUAAAGAACAAAUGUUAUUUAUAAGAUUUUUUGUUUNAAAAUCGAUGUUGUAUACACAAAUUAAUAGAAGUGUUAAUUUUGAAUUUUCCUACCCGACCCAUUAACCCAAAAUUUGUCGGAGGAAAUAGUGGAGGAAAUGGUAGCUAAUGGCUGCCCUACACGACCACUUUUUCAAGGAAAUAGUGGCCAAUGGCCGGAUUCAAAGAGGCCUUUGACCAGUAAAAAAAAAAAAAGGCAAAAAUAUUUAAAAUCUUGAAAAUCAACAAAAAUCAAGAGAAACCCAAAUUUAUGUUUACCAUAUGAAAAAGAAAUAGAAGAGAAUAAGGAGAGUGGAAAAUUACUGUAGUACCAUAAACCCAAGCAUCGACAAAAAAGGAAAAACAAGAGACCCAGUUGGCUAUUUCUUUCUGAAGAAGGUAAGAUUUUCAUACCAAGAAAAAAUAUGUUUUUAUUUUAUUUUUUGGAAAAAAAGCAUGAUUAUAUAUAUAUAUAUAUGUUGAGAAAUCCUUGUGUAAAUAUGAAAUUUGGGUAAGAAUAUUGUUUGGGAAGGCAAAAAUUGAGUGGAGAUUGUCGGAAAUGGAGUUUUCCGACUAUCUUCACGGUAAAACGUGGUUGGGGCCGUCUGGGCGCCCACCCCAAUUGACUGGACCAUCCGUUAUUUGGGUCGUGGGCUUAUAAUUUUUUUAUUUAUUUCCCGUAAUUAUUGAAGUUAAUUGAAUAAUUAUUAAUUUUUUAUAUUGUGUUCUCUAAUAUUUAAUUAUUUAUUUGAAUUGUUUAAUUUUAAUGUAUAUUAUGUAUUUAAAAUUAUUUAUUUGAAAUGUAAGAUAUAAAUGUUUUAUUAUUUAUCGAAAUAUUUAUCUGUUGUUAAUUUAGAUCAAUUUAUUAUUUUAUAUUAAGUAAUAGUAAAAUAAUUAAAAGAAAUAAUUACAUAUUAAAUAAGUAAUAUAUAUAAAGAAUUUAAAUAAAUAUUUAAAUAUUUGUAAAAUAAUAAAAAUAAUUAAAUUUGAAAAUUAAAAUAGCAAUAAAAUUAAUUUUUUGCAAAGUAAUUAAAAUAAAUUUGUAAAUAUGAAAUAAGUAUUAUGCGUAAAAAAUUAAAAUAAGUAUUUAAACAUUCAUUAAAAAUAAAAAAUUAAAUUAAGUGUUAGAAAAAAUAAUUAAAAUAUUAAAAUAAACGUUCAAACUAAGUAUUAGUAAAAUAAUUAAAUAUUAAAUAAGACAUAUAUAUAUAUAUAUAUAUAUAUACACACACACACACCAAAGAGAGGGGGGUCCUGAAAAAUGUUAGUAUUUCAAGGAUUAUAAGAAGGUUAUAAGGCGGUUACAAAUCAAAUUAUAAAAGCCCUACUCAGUACUCUUCUUAAUUGAAAUAUCUUUUGAUAAGAUAAUAUCCUUUUUUUUUAAACUUUUAUUUGAAAUUAAAAAAAUAUGCCAUCUGAGAUAUAUGAACUUGUGCCUAACUCCAUUAUUGCAAGGACACCACUGGCACUCCCUUAACAAAAAUUCUUAAAACAGUGAUCCUUUUCCCCUUUCUAUGCGUUUCACUAGCUUUUCCACUAGGCCUUUACGCUUUUGAAGGGUCACUCAGGGCUUAUUUUAAAAACAGUUUAAACUUUAACUUGGAGUUAAGACAUGCUCUUAUUAUAUACUCAGCAUGAAACAUAAAACUUUACAAAUAAUUUACAGAAACAAAAAAAUCUUAUAAAUAACAUUUGUUCUUUAAAGAUAUGGGACUAAUAUUGAUUAUUAGUACCAUAUUUUAGAACAAUAAAACAUACAUACCGGAAUGAUCCAUCAGUAGUUUAAAAACAUAAAUAUAUAUAUUUUUAGGAUAUUAUCAUAUCUAAGAAUAAAAACAAUUAAGAAUUUCCCUUUCGGGAAAGAGAGAAAAUUAGAACAUGUUUCAAAGAAACAAAGAACUUUUAUUAUUUUUCUCUAUUCUGUGUGUUUACAAGUGAAAGAAUGACUUCUGAUAUAGGAAAGAAAAAGGAAGAAAACGUGUUUUUCAAAAGCAAAGAAUCUUUGCUUUUUCAAAAACGUCAAAAAGAAAACAGUAAAAAGUUUAAUUAUCAAAUCUUACUUUAUAAAACAGUAAGAUUCGUUACAAAUUUUUCAAACAGUAAAAAGUUUGUCUCUCGUACAAUAAUUUCUGAUCUUUUUGAAAGUUUGCCAAGUGUCUCUUUUCCAACUAAGUCUUUCUUUGUAUGAUCAGAUCUUUCUUGAACCCUUAUCUUAUUUCAUAAUUGUGUCGGCCAAUGCUGUCUAAAGAUGCUCCUCCAUCAGUAUAGUUUUCUGAAUUAUUGUCCUCUUCUGUAUUAUUCUCAUAAUCUUCUUUAAGAUCAAUUUUCUUUUUGCCUUUGUUUUUCUUCUUUAUCUGCAACUUCUUUUUUUUUGAGGUCUUUUGUUUAACUAGUUGCUGUAAUUCUUCAAUUUUAUCAAACAUUUCUUUCAAUCUUUUUAUAUCUGAUUGAGUAAUUUGAUCUGGAUCUUGUGAUUAUUGAAAUGAUUCUGAUAUAAGAUUAACUGGGCUUUUCUGUUUUAAAUCUAUUGGACUAAUUAAUCUAGUAGCAUAAUUUACAGUCUGCUGAGUCUGUUCUUCAGUAAUUUUAUUUUCUGUAACAGGAUUUUCAGCCUGUUGAGUCUGAUUAAAUUGAAAAGUAGGAGAAUCAACAGCCUCCUGAGUCUGUUGGGCUUUUGGUAAGUCCAAAACCAUAAACGGAUUUGUUAAGUCUUUACCAGCUACCGUUUGAGCUGGACUAGCUAUAGACUUCUUGGGCUCUAUAGUAACUGAAACUGUCUGAAAAUCUGAAUUUAGAAUUUUUAUUUUAAUAAUUUUUUGUUCUAGAUCAGAAAUCUUCUUUUGUAAAAAUAAUUUUUUUUGUUGUAAAAUCUGAUUUGAUUCAUUUAAAAUUUUAAAAUUUCUAGUCAUGCAUUCACAAUAUUGACAAAAAUUUGAUGAAAAAAAUGUUUCAAAUCAGCCAUUAGAUUUUUCAUCAAAUUUUUGUCAACAUUGUGAAUGCAUGACUAGAAAUUUUAAUACAUUUUCUCCUAAAAAAAUUUAUCUUUUUCCCAAUAUUUUAAUACAUUUUCUCCUAAAAUUUCUAAUUUUUCUAGUUUACUAAUCAUGUUUUCUAUAUCUUGUUCUGUUACUAACAAAUUAUAUAUUUUUUCAAUUUCUACAAAAUUUAAACAUAUUUCUUCUUCUUCAUAAUAUUCUUCUAAAAAAAUUUUUAAUUUUAAAUUGUUUUUAUUCUUAGAUAUGAUAAUAUCCUAAAAAAAAUAUAUUUAUGUUUUUAAACUACUGAUGGAUCAUUCCGGUAGGUAUGUUUUAUUGUUCUAAGAUAUGGUACUAAUAAUCAAUAUUAGUUCCAAAUCUUUAAAGAACAAAUGUUAUUUAUAAGAUUUUUUGUUUUUGUAAAUUCUUUGUAAAGUUUUAUGUUUCAUGCUGAGUAUAUGAUAAGAGCAUGUCUUGACUUCAAGUUAAAGUUUUAUGUUUCAUGCUGACAGUGUCGCUGGUCCGGAUGGCUUCUCAUCCCUAUUCUUCCAGCAUUGCUGGGAUAUCAUUCAGGAGGAUGUUUACAGGGCGGUAUUGGAUUUCUUUGAUGGUAGUCAUCUUCCACGGGGUUUUGCUGCUACUUCUAUUGUCUUGCUACCUAAGAAGGAUGGUGCUUGCAGAUGGACUGAAUUCAUACCAAUCAGUUUAUGCACAGUGUUCAAUAAGAUUAUUACUAAGCUUUUGAACACUCGGUUGAGUACACUGCUACCGCGCAUUAUUUCCUCUCCACAGAGUGGUUUCAUCCCAGGCCGUCUGAUUGGAGAUAAUGUUUUAUUGGCUCAGGAGCUUCUCUACACUUUGGAUGAUAGAGUACGAGGGGGAAACACUAUGCUGAAGUUAGACAUGGCUAAAGCAUAUGAUCGCAUGGACUGGGGCUUCAUUUAUUCUAUAUUGGAGGCAUUUGGAUUUGAUCAGAUCUGGAUUGACAGAAUCAGGCGGUGCGUUUCGGAGUGUCGUUUCUCCGUACUCCUAAAUGGCCGCCCAUGUGGUUUUUUCCCUCCUCACGAGGAUUCAGACAGGGUGAUCCUAUCUCCCCAUCCUUGUUCAUCAUUGCAGCAGACUACUUCUCACGCUUGCUCACUCAGAGGUUUCAGCAGUAUCCCAGUAUGUGUUAUCGACAUGGAGGUAGUGCUCUUGUCUCACAUCUCUCAUUUGCUGACGAUAUGAUCAUCUUUGCCAACGGUCAGAAACAGUCUAUCAGGAGGGUCUUAGACUGCUUGGAGCACUAUGAAGGAGUUUCUGGCCAAUUGGUGAAUAGAGACAAGAGCGGUAUUAUACUAUCCAGACGGGCAUCCACUAGUCAGAUCAGACGACUAGAGAUUUUGACUGGCUUCAGACAUCAGCAGCAGCCUUUCACUUACUUGGGUGUCCCCUUAUUCAAGGGGACUAAGAGGAGCUUCCUUUAUGAUAACCUUAUCCAGAAGAUAAGGAAUAGGAUAUCAGGUUGGGCCUCACGAUUACUAUCGCCUGGGGGUCGUAUUACAUUACUGAGGUCAGUACUUUCUUCCAUACCUUUACAUCUUCUUCAGAUUAUGCAGCCGCCCAAGGCAGUGCUGAAGAAACUUGAGA